AUGUAUCAUGAGGAGAACCUUGGUAGAGUGCAAGACAAAGAGGCUCAUGAGAUAGAGGUUGAGAAACUGAAGAAGGAGCUGGAUUCUCUUGGCAAUCAGUACAGUCAGCUUGUGGAUGAUGUAUCCAAGCUAUUUGAUUACCAGGAUGGGCAGAAAUCCCAUGACAUGGAUUACACAAGCCAGGCAAUCAAUGAACUUAAGGAGAAGAAGCAUCAGCUUGAGGAGCGGGCAAAGAUUGAGAUUCAAAUGGAGAAGCUUAAGCUCAAGAAAGAACAAAGGUGCAUCCUGCAGAGUCAAGCUGAUAUCAUUCAAAACACCAGGAAAGCCAUGAAGGAGAUACAAGUUGAGAGAGACCUCCUUAAAGAAGAGAAGAAGAAGCUGGAGCAUAUCAUUGCUGAGCUCUUGAAGGCAGGUCACGGGUGCAAAGAAAAGCUAGACAAGAUCAAAGAAGUUGUCAUGGAGGAGUGA
This 468-nucleotide ribosomal RNA is filed under the name Triticum aestivum (bread wheat). RNAcentral's name for it is "partial small subunit ribosomal RNA". Lineage: Eukaryota; Viridiplantae; Streptophyta; Magnoliopsida; Poales; Poaceae. The record is from RNAcentral.